AGAUUGAACGUCUGGGUCGGCAUGCCCUAACACAUGCAAGUCGAGGCGGCAGCGCGGGGGCGACCCUGGCGGCGAGCGGCGGACGGGUGAGUAAGGCAUCGGAAUCUGCCCUGAUGUUGGGGGAUAACGUAGGGAAACUUUACGCUAAUACCGCAUACGACCGAGGAGGUGAAAGCGGGGGACCGAAAGGCCUCGCGCAGCAGGAU
Molecule: ribosomal RNA, 206 nt
Filed under: uncultured prokaryote
Description: partial 16S ribosomal RNA
Rfam family: Bacterial small subunit ribosomal RNA
Source: RNAcentral